Molecule: ribosomal RNA, 1414 nt
Filed under: Staphylococcus aureus
Lineage: Bacteria; Bacillati; Bacillota; Bacilli; Caryophanales; Staphylococcaceae
Description: bacterial SSU rRNA
Rfam family: Bacterial small subunit ribosomal RNA
Source: RNAcentral
AAGACUGGGAUAACUUCGGGAAACCGGAGCUAAUACCGGAUAAUAUUUUGAACCGCAUGGUUCAAAAGUGAAAGACGGUCUUGCUGUCACUUAUAGAUGGAUCCGCGCUGCAUUAGCUAGUUGGUAAGGUAACGGCUUACCAAGGCAACGAUGCAUAGCCGACCUGAGAGGGUGAUCGGCCACACUGGAACUGAGACACGGUCCAGACUCCUACGGGAGGCAGCAGUAGGGAAUCUUCCGCAAUGGGCGAAAGCCUGACGGAGCAACGCCGCGUGAGUGAUGAAGGUCUUCGGAUCGUAAAACUCUGUUAUUAGGGAAGAACAUAUGUGUAAGUAACUGUGCACAUCUUGACGGUACCUAAUCAGAAAGCCACGGCUAACUACGUGCCAGCAGCCGCGGUAAUACGUAGGUGGCAAGCGUUAUCCGGAAUUAUUGGGCGUAAAGCGCGCGUAGGCGGUUUUUUAAGUCUGAUGUGAAAGCCCACGGCUCAACCGUGGAGGGUCAUUGGAAACUGGAAAACUUGAGUGCAGAAGAGGAAAGUGGAAUUCCAUGUGUAGCGGUGAAAUGCGCAGAGAUAUGGAGGAACACCAGUGGCGAAGGCGACUUUCUGGUCUGUAACUGACGCUGAUGUGCGAAAGCGUGGGGAUCAAACAGGAUUAGAUACCCUGGUAGUCCACGCCGUAAACGAUGAGUGCUAAGUGUUAGGGGGUUUCCGCCCCUUAGUGCUGCAGCUAACGCAUUAAGCACUCCGCCUGGGGAGUACGACCGCAAGGUUGAAACUCAAAGGAAUUGACGGGGACCCGCACAAGCGGUGGAGCAUGUGGUUUAAUUCGAAGCAACGCGAAGAACCUUACCAAAUCUUGACAUCCUUUGACAACUCUAGAGAUAGAGCUUUCCCCUUCGGGGGACAAAGUGACAGGUGGUGCAUGGUUGUCGUCAGCUCGUGUCGUGAGAUGUUGGGUUAAGUCCCGCAACGAGCGCAACCCUUAAGCUUAGUUGCCAUCAUUAAGUUGGGCACUCUAAGUUGACUGCCGGUGACAAACCGGAGGAAGGUGGGGAUGACGUCAAAUCAUCAUGCCCCUUAUGAUUUGGGCUACACACGUGCUACAAUGGACAAUACAAAGGGCAGCGAAACCGCGAGGUCAAGCAAAUCCCAUAAAGUUGUUCUCAGUUCGGAUUGUAGUCUGCAACUCGACUACAUGAAGCUGGAAUCGCUAGUAAUCGUAGAUCAGCAUGCUACGGUGAAUACGUUCCCGGGUCUUGUACACACCGCCCGUCACACCACGAGAGUUUGUAACACCCGAAGCCGGUGGAGUAACCUUUUAGGAGCUAGCCGUCGAAGGUGGGACAAAUGAUUGGGGUGAAGUCGUAACAAGGUAGCCGUAUCGGAAGGUGCGGCUGGAUCACCUCCUUU